GUACGGGAGGCAGCAGUGGGGAAUAUUGGACAAUGGGCGAAAGCCUGAUCCAGCAAUGCCGCGUGAGUGAUGAAGGCCUUAGGGUUGUAAAGCUCUUUUACCAGGGAUGAUAAUGACAGUACCUGGAGAAUAAGCUCCGGCUAACUCCGUGCCAGCAGCCGCGGUAAUACGGAGGGAGCUAGCGUUGUUCGGAAUUACUGGGCGUAAAGCGUACGUAGGCGGUGACUCAAGUCAGAGGUGAAAGCCUGGAGCUCAACUCCAGAACUGCCUUUGAAACUAGGUCGCUAGAAUCACGGAGAGGUGAGUGGAAUUCCGAGUGUAGAGGUGAAAUUCGUAGAUAUUCGGAAGAACACCAGUGGCGAAGGCGGCUCACUGGACGUGUAUUGACGCUGAGGUACGAAAGCGUGGGGAGCAAACAGGAUUAGAUACCCCGGUAGC
This 438-nucleotide ribosomal RNA is filed under the name uncultured bacterium. RNAcentral's name for it is "bacterial SSU rRNA". It matches the Rfam family "Bacterial small subunit ribosomal RNA", at positions 339 to 794 of the family's 1533-position model. The record is from RNAcentral.